Molecule: ribosomal RNA, 799 nt
Filed under: uncultured Glomeromycotina
Lineage: Eukaryota; Fungi; Glomeromycota
Description: SSU rRNA
Rfam family: Eukaryotic small subunit ribosomal RNA
Source: RNAcentral
AUCAACUUUCGAUGGUAGGAUAGAGGCCUACCAUGGUGGUAACGGGUAACGGGGUGUUAGGGCACGACACCGGAGAGGGAGCCUGAGAAACGGCUACCACAUCCAAGGAUGGCAGCAGGCGCGCAAAUUACCCAAUCCCGACACGGGGAGGUAGUGACAAUAAAUAACAAUACGGGGUUCUUUCGGAUCUCGUAAUUGGAAUGAGUACAAUUUAAAUCUCUUAACGAGGAACAAUUGGAGGGCAAGUCUGGUGCCAGCAGCCGCGGUAAUUCCAGCUCCAAUAGCGUAUAUUAAAGUUGUUGCAGUUAAAAAGCUCGUAGUUGAAUUUCGGGACCAAUGUGCCGGUCGUGCCUCCGGUACGCACUGGUUUUAUUGGUUUCUCCCUUCUGACGAACCAUGAUGUCAUUAAUUUGGUGUCAUGGGGAAUCAGGACUGUUACUUUGAAAAAAUUAGAGUGUUUAUAGCAGGCUCACGCUUGAAUACAUUAGCAUGGAAUAAUGAAAUAGGACGUUUGACCCUAUUUUGUUGGUUUCUAGGAUCGACGUAAUGAUUAAUAGGGAUAGUUGGGGGCAUUAGUAUUCAAUUGUCAGAGGUGAAAUUCUUGGAUUUAUUGAAGACUAACUACUGCGAAAGCAUUUGCCAAGGAUGUUUUCAUUAAUCAAGAACGAAAGUUAGGGGAUCGAAGACGAUCAGAUACCGUCGUAGUCUUAACCAUAAACUAUGCCGACUAGGGAUCGGAUGAUGUUAAUUUUUUAAUGACUCAUUCGGCGCCUUACGGGAAACCAAAGUGUUUGGGUUC